CACAUUCGGGGCGCUUCGGCGCUCCUUAUACACCCACCCUCUGUCCUACGUGUACCUCUAUAGCUUCCUCGGCGGGCUCGCCCGCCGCCAGGAACCCACGAAACCCCUUGCAUUAUACGCGAAAACUUCUGAUAACAAACCUAAAUUAUCAC
Molecule: unclassified non-coding RNA, 152 nt
Filed under: soil metagenome
Description: partial internal transcribed spacer 1
Source: RNAcentral